GCAUUCAGACGACGAUCAUCGCUCCACAGUGGGCAACUACGUUUAAAGAAAAUCCUUCUUCUUUAAAGAACAUUCGACUACAACGAUAGCAUUUUCGUACCAAAGCUUGAGUCAUCUUCUCUUCCAAAUAUAAACGUGCAGAUUCUGACUUCUUUUCGUUGCAUUUCAAUGGUAUGUGAUUAAGUUCCUUACAUAAUCUAAUAUCAAAACAAUUUAUUAAUGUAAUAAUUUUAGUAAUGUACAAUCACGCAUUUAUUUCUAAAUAUUUUGUAAAUAUUUCUAAAUAUAUAAUAUUUUGUUUAAAAAGAUCAAUACUUUAAAAUGCAAUAUAUAUCUCUCAUGUAAUAUUUCUUCACAAAUUCAUGUUAAAACAAAGACAAUAAACAAAAUAUAAAAAGUA
This 400-nucleotide small RNA is filed under the name Atta cephalotes. RNAcentral's name for it is "sRNA LOC105626724". Lineage: Eukaryota; Metazoa; Arthropoda; Insecta; Hymenoptera; Formicidae. The record is from RNAcentral.